Macadamia integrifolia is the source of this 1871-nucleotide RNA transcript. It is a transcript of the gene named CMP-sialic acid transporter 1-like, with no coding region annotated. The transcript is spliced from 9 exons. The record is from RefSeq and is a predicted model, not a curated record. Lineage: Eukaryota; Viridiplantae; Streptophyta; Magnoliopsida; Proteales; Proteaceae.
GUUUUUCCAUCUGUUGAGAGUGAGGAGCAGUAUGAGCGAGGAAGAUGGAGUGGUACUUCGUAGCUGCGCUUCUCACCAUUCUUACCAGUUCUCAGGGAAUUUUGACAACACUCUCACAAAGUGGUGGGGGAUAUAAGUAUGACUAUGCCACUGUUCCUUUUCUUGCUGAAGUUUUUAAGCUCCUGGUUUCUUCUAUUCUUCUUUUGAGGGAAUGCAAGUCAUCACCUUUUCCAAGGAUGACCACAGAAUGGAAAAGCGUGCGUUUGUACCCCAUUCCUUCCAUUAUAUACUUGAUCCACAACAAUAUUCAGUUUCUCACCCUUACAUAUGUGGAUACAUCUACAUAUCAGAUAAUGGGUAAUCUGAAGAUUGUCACUACUGGCAUAUUAUUCAGGCUGUUCCUGAAGAGGAAAAUGUCUAAUCUGCAGUGGAUGGCAAUUGUUCUGUUAGCUGUUGGUACAACCACAAGCCAGGUUAAAGGCUGUGAUGAGGCUUCGUGUGACUCCCUUUUCUCAGCACCAAUUCAGGGUUAUAUACUGGGGAUCCUGUCUGCUUGUCUCUCAGCAUUAGCAGGUGUUUAUACUGAAUUUCUGAUGAAGAAGAAUAAUGACAGCCUGUACUGGCAGAAUGUACAAUUAUAUAUGUUUGGUUCAAUCUUCAAUAUGGCACGGUUGAUCCUGGAUGAUUUCAAGCAAGAAUUUGAGCAGGGACCAUGGUGGCGACGCCUAUUUAAUGGAUACAGUUUUACGACAUGGAUGGUGGUAUUAAAUCUUGGAUCUACUGGGUUACUAGUCUCGUGGUUAAUGAAGUAUGCUGACAAUAUUGUGAAGGUCUACUCAACAUCAAUGGCAAUGCUUCUGACAAUGGCUUUAUCUGUGUAUCUUUUCAAUUUCAAACCUACACUGCAGCUUUUCUUGGGGAUUAUUAUCUGUAUGAUGUCACUUCACAUGUAUUUUGCUCCUGCAAGCAUGCUUUUAGAUUUGCCUUCGACGGUAAAAGCAGCCCCAGAGAAACUUGCUGAAGUUUCUGUUGAUCGAACAACAGAUUCCUGAUGUUAGUCAUCACACUUAUUAAAUCAACUAAUUCUUUGCUCAGGGUCCACUGAAAGGACAUUCCACUCCCGCCCACUCUCUCUCUUCCUCUCUCACAAAGUCUAUAAAAGGCCAUCCUCCUAUAUUAAGAGUGCCCAUAACACCAGAAAUCGUUAAGAGGUUGUAUAGAGAGAGAGAGAGGUGGCAGUGGAAUCAGGAAUGGAAUCAGUUAUACGACCUACUCCAGCUCCCGGAACUAGCGGUGGCAGCGGCAGCGGAGUGAACGGACAGAAGGGCGGAGAGCGGGGAUGCGGAUACUUUCAGAUGCCGCUACACUAUCCCAGAUACACCAAAGAGGAAUACGAGACCAUGCCUGAGUGGAAGCUGGAUUGCCUUCUCACACAGUAUGGACUCCCUCUUGUUGGCGAUGUCGAACAGAAAAGGAAGUUUGCCAUGGGAGCUUUCCUCUGGACUUGUUGAUCAUCACCACUCCUUCCCUCAUCAUCCAUCCCUAGUACUGCAUGAAUGGCCGAUCUCUCUCUCUCUCUCUCUCUCUCUCUCUCUCUCUCUAUAUAUAUAUAUAUAUAUAUAUAUAACAUAUGAUACGUUACAUCUGUUUAUAUAUGAUCUGUAUCUAUUCUUCAGUUACUUAAUUUUCUUAGCUAUGUAAGUGUCUCUUCAACAUGUUGGGUCUUGCUUAGACUAAGUAUGGGAUUUUAAUGUAGCAGAAUCUGUGUCACUUUUCACUGUAAAAGAACCUGAUUUAUAGAAGAUGAUCAAGAUCUUCUUUGUGGGUUUCACUACUACUCUAAGUUUAUGGAAUGACCCUCUUCGAUCUCC